RNAcentral lists this ribosomal RNA (800 nucleotides) under uncultured bacterium. RNAcentral's name for it is "bacterial SSU rRNA". It matches the Rfam family "Bacterial small subunit ribosomal RNA", at positions 9 to 825 of the family's 1533-position model. The record is from RNAcentral.
GAGUUUGAUCCUGGCUCAGGAUAAACGCUGGCGGCGUGCAUGAGACAUGCAAGUCGAACGGACGGCUCGAGGCUUGCUUCGAGUCGUUAGUGGCGGACGGCUGAGUAACGCGUGGGUGACCUGCCCCGAAGUGGGGAAUAACUGCCCGAAAGGGUGGCUAAUACCGCAUGUGGUGAUGCGUUCAUUCGCAUCAGUAAAGCCGCAAGGCGCUUCGGGAGGGGCCUGCGUCCGAUUAGCUCGUUGGUGGGGUAACGGCUCACCAAGGCGACGAUCGGUAGGUGGUCUGAGAGGACGAUCACCCAGACUGGGACUGAGACACGGCCCAGACUCCUACGGGAGGCAGCAGUCGGGAAUUUUGCGCAAUGGACGAAAGUCUGACGCAGCAACGCCGCGUGAGGGAUGAAGGCCUUCGGGUUGUAAACCUCUUUUGUCAGGGACGAUGAUGACGGUACCUGACGAAUAAGCCACGGCUAACUACGUGCCAGCAGCCGCGGUAAUACGUAGGUGGCAAGCGUUGUCCGGAUUUACUGGGCGUAAAGAGCGCGCAGGCGGUCGUUCAAGUCGCGUGUGAAAGCCCCCGGCUCAACUGGGGAGGGUCACGCGAUACUGAUCGACUCGAAGGCAGGAGAGGGUAGUGGAAUUCCCGGUGUAGUGGUGAAAUGCGUAGAUAUCGGGAGGAACACCAGUGGCGAAGGCGACUACCUGGCCUGUUUCUUGACGCUGAGGCGCGAAAGCUAGGGGAGCAAACGGGAUUAGAUACCCCGGUAGUCCUAGCCGUAAACGAUGGACACUAGGUGUUG